This 253-nucleotide ribosomal RNA is filed under the name uncultured bacterium. RNAcentral describes it as "partial 16S ribosomal RNA". It matches the Rfam family "Bacterial small subunit ribosomal RNA", at positions 524 to 776 of the family's 1533-position model. The record is from RNAcentral.
UACGGAGGGUGCAAGCGUUGUUCGGAAUCAUUGGGCGUAAAGCGCGUGUAGGCGGUUUCGUAAGUCUGAAGUGAAAGCCCUGGGCUCAACCCAGGAAGUGCUUUGGAUACUGCAAAACUAGAGGACGAGAGAGGAUGGUGGAAUUCCUGGUGUAGGGGUGAAAUCCGUAGAUAUCAGGAGGAACAUCAGUGGCGAAGGCGGCCAUCUGGCUCGUAACUGACGCUGAGACGCGAAAGCGUGGGGAGCAAACAGG